AUGAGUGAACAACCUGUCAACUUUCUCAGUUGGAAUGUUAGAGGGCUUAAUUGCCCGGAUCGACGCGCAACCGUCAACGAAACCAUAGCCGCAUCCUCCUGCCAUAUUGUUUGUUUGCAAGAAACAAAGCUGGAGCUUGUCGAUCAGUUCACCGCCUCAUUCCUUGGAGGGUCCAGACUUAGGAAUUUUGCGCAAAGGCCGGCCAGCGGCACGAGAGGAGGGAUGCUUAUGCUUUGGGACGAUCGUGUCGUCGAUGUCACUGACAUCACUACCACCACUUUCUGCCUUUCAGCUAUGGUCCAAGUCAGGGCCUCCGGCUCCCGGUUCAAAAUUACGUCCGUCUACGGGCCGACCCUCUCGUCCCUCAAAGAGGCCUUCUUCACCGACCUCGCAAGCCAAAAACCACCCAGUGGGGAGUUAUGGCUGGCUCUGGGUGAUUUUAACCAGAUUUACCGCGCCCGAGACAAGAACAAGCGCAACGUCAAUAGGAGGAGGAUAAACCGUUUCCGCUCCACGCUCCACGAGUGUGAUCUCAAGGAGAUCCACCUCCAGAACAGGCGGUUCACUUGGAGCAACGAGAGAAAUAGCCCAACCCUAUGCAAGCUCGAUUCCUUCUUCUGUAACGCCGAGUGGGACCUGCAGUUCAGUACACACAUCUUGCAUGCUCUAUCAUCUUCGCUCUCAGACCAUUGCCCUCUUCUUCUCGCGGACGACAGGGGGCCUCGCAGGCCUCGCUCAUUCAAAUUUGAGAAUUUUUGGACUUCUCUUCCGGGGUUUAGCGAUGUGGUGGCUAAUGCAUGGAAUGAGCACACUCAUCAUACCGACCCCUUUCGGAUAUUGCACCACAAGCUUCAACACACUGGCGCCAAACUCUUGAGAUGGAGUAAGGGCCUAUUCUCAAAGGCCAAGAUCAUGCAUCAUGCUGCCCUGCUAGUAAUUCUUCACCUGGACAUGGCUCAAGACUCGAGGCACCUCUCCGUUGAGGAGCUGGAGCUCCGCUCUAGGCUUAAGCGGAGAGUCAUUGCCUUGGCAGUUCUUGAGAGGGCGAGAAAAAAGCAAUGUGCUAGGAUUUCCAACCUCAAA
RNAcentral lists this ribosomal RNA (1083 nucleotides) under Triticum aestivum (bread wheat). RNAcentral describes it as "partial small subunit ribosomal RNA". Lineage: Eukaryota; Viridiplantae; Streptophyta; Magnoliopsida; Poales; Poaceae. The record is from RNAcentral.